UGGCCGUGCAUACUAAUAAUAAAUAAAUAAAUACAUUCCAUAUACAAUUUCCUCUUCCAUGGUGCAUUUUGUUAUUCGUAUCGCAGCGAACGUUAUUUUUUUGUACGUCGCCGCCGCCGCGUUGAGUUUUACUUAGACAGCAACUAGAGCAGCGACUAAGUACAAUAACAACAACAGCAACUGCAACAACUGAACACUGAAAUAAUAGCAA
Long non-coding RNA from Drosophila obscura, 211 nucleotides. RefSeq lists it as uncharacterized. The record is from RefSeq and is a predicted model, not a curated record. NCBI's taxonomy places the organism in Eukaryota, Metazoa, Arthropoda, Insecta, Diptera, Drosophilidae. The transcript has 2 exons.